GCACCAAUCGGACUGUUCUACG
RNAcentral lists this microRNA (22 nucleotides) under Marchantia polymorpha subsp. ruderalis. The record is from RNAcentral. Lineage: Eukaryota; Viridiplantae; Streptophyta; Marchantiopsida; Marchantiales; Marchantiaceae.